RNAcentral lists this unclassified non-coding RNA (376 nucleotides) under Hevea brasiliensis (rubber tree). The record is from RNAcentral. Lineage: Eukaryota; Viridiplantae; Streptophyta; Magnoliopsida; Malpighiales; Euphorbiaceae.
AUUUCCCAUCUUUUUAUAGCACCUAAUUAUUCCUUAUGAGAUGAGAGUGAAUUAUUAGGUGCUAUAAAAAGAUGGGAAAUUAUGAAUGCAUUCAUAUUGAAGGAAUCAAAGACGACUAGAAUCUAAGCAACUAAUUCUCAUCCGCCAGAAUCCAAUGUACAAUGGAAUAGCUGCAACUGAAACUUAUGUAUGACCCAUUUGAUACGUAAUCCAUAGAUGAUAUAGUCCUAAACAUCAAGAAUCCUUGUACUUCUUUAACUGCUUUUCUUUUUCAACUCCCUCACAGAAACUAAGGACUGCUCUAAGUCAGUAAUCUUCGAUGGGAGAAAGACCAAACAUAUGUAGCACUAUUAAAAAUUUAUCUUCCCACGAAUCU